RNAcentral lists this ribosomal RNA (256 nucleotides) under uncultured bacterium. RNAcentral describes it as "partial 16S ribosomal RNA". It matches the Rfam family "Bacterial small subunit ribosomal RNA", at positions 524 to 776 of the family's 1533-position model. The record is from RNAcentral.
UACGUAGGGUGCAAGCGUUGUCCGGAAUUAUUGGGCGUAAAGAGCUCGUAGGCGGUCUGUUGCGUCGGCUGUGAAAACCCGGGGCUCAACCCCGGGCCUGCAGCCGAUACGGGCAGACUAGAGUUCGGCAGGGGAGACUGGAAUUCCUGGUGUAGCGGUGAAAUGCGCAGAUAUCAGGAGGAACACCGGUAGCGGCGAAGGCAGGUCUCUGGGCAUUAACUGACGCUGAGGAGCGAAAGCAUGGGGAGCGAACAGG